Molecule: long non-coding RNA, 1917 nt
Filed under: Homo sapiens (human)
Lineage: Eukaryota; Metazoa; Chordata; Mammalia; Primates; Hominidae
Description: HSALNT0388796
Source: RNAcentral
UGACCCGAGAUUGCGCUACUGCACUCCAGCCUGGGCGACAGAGCGAGGUUCCGUCUCGAAAAAAAAAACAACGAAAAGGGGACUCACUUCGGAGAAGCUGCCCUCUCUGCAAACUUAUUUGAAGAUGUGGUCUUGCUAUGUUGCCCGGGCUGAGUGCAGUGACUAUUCACAGGCCGGAUCUAGUGCACUGCAGUCUUGAACUCCUGGCUUACAGUCCUGCUGGUUCUGAGAGGCAGGGGAAGAAACGGCCACCAUGCUCUGCAGCUAGGUCUCAGCAUGAGGACCAAGAACCCUGGUGUUCCUCCACUCAUCGGAGCCGUAUCAUUUUGGUGCAUUGGCCAGGAAAGGAAAUUCAAUCAUGAGACUGAUGGGUAACAGACCAUCUUCAACAUGCACUUCUCUUGAGUGUAUUUUGAAGCACUAGGACUCUUUCGACCUUGAAACUUUGAAGAAAAAGUGGCUUAUUUUCUUUUGCAGUCAUAUCAGGCAGGCCCAGGGAAAACAGUACCCCAAAAUUUAAAAAGUAACUUUCAGGGAAGUCAUCUGAGGGUCCCCCUUAUUUGGGGCCCCUUCAAGUUCCCUUCUCAUUGCAGGACCUUUGGCAAGUAAAGGGAGACUUAGGCUGGUUUUCUGAUGACCUUAAUAAGUAUAUGGAAGCUUUCCAAUAUUUAACUCAGGUAUGUAACCUCUCAUGAAGGGAUGUUAUGUUGCUGCUAAGGCAAACCCUUACUGUAGGUAAAAUAAGCAGCUCUGCAAGCAGAAGAAAAUUUUGGAGAUAAGUAAUGUCUCCUAUAGAAGGCCAAAAGGGAAAAGAAAAAAAUAGGGAAGGCAAAGGGGAAACACCAUUCCCAAUAGGAAAAGAGGCAAUACCUCCUGACAACCCUAAUUGGAACUCCUUUCUGUGGUGUUUUUCCUUGUUUUGCAGUUUAAAAUGGCUUCUCUUUUAUAAUGUUCUUCCAACAUGGAAAAGGUUAAUUUUCCAAACCUUAAAAUGUUUGGCAUAGAGUUGAGCUAGGGGGAAGGAAACCCAGCCCAGAAGCCUGAUAUGCUGGCAAAAGGGUAAAAAUUUCUUACCAGUCAGGCUUUUGGCUUCUCUCUUCCUGUGGAAACCGGCAAAAGGGAUAAUAAAGAUCAUUGUUUAUGUUUUCUUUAAAUUUAUAGUUAAUGAAAAAGGAUUUGUGAGGUUGGUCUUAAGCUGUAAACAAUCUGCUCUUCUUUGUAUGUCUUUCUGUGUGGUUCUGUUAAAGAAAAGGUAUCUUAGGUCAGGAUGCAGGCCCAGAAACCCAUAAGCCUGCUGUUCAAACCAGCCCAGCAAAGUAUCCAGUGGCAAACUUGGCUACAGGCCUCCAUCUUGUUUCAUGUCAUGGGAACAUAAUCUGUAACCAUGUGGCAAUACUUUGUUUUUGUCUCCGCCAUUUUACAAUGGUGGCUGUCUUCUUGUGCUAAAUCAGAUAAGCCAGUUUGUCAGUCUGGGCUGUGUCAGCUGAUCCAUCAAGGGCAGGGUUUACAAAACAUCUUAAGCACUGAUCAUAACAGCCGUUUAGGGAGGGUCAAAAUCUUGUAGCCUCCAAUUGCAUGGCUCUUGGGCCAUGGUUUCUAAUCCUGUAGCUAGUUUCUUGGUCUGGUCCCCAGGCAAAAGGGAAGUAUAUCUUGAGAAGCAGCUGCUAUCUUCUUUGUUUUAGACUAUAAACUGUAAACCAAGCUCCUCCCCAACUUGAUUCAGCCUAUGCCCGGGGAUGGGCAAGGACAGUUUGGGGACUGGAAACAAAAUGGAGUUGUUUGGGUGAGAUCUCUUCCACUGUCUCAGUCACAAUUUUGCAGUGACAGUUUCAAAAGCUGCCUGUCCGGGUGGAUCACGAGGUCAGGAGUUCAAGACCAGCCUAGUCAACAUGACGAAACCCUGUCUCUACUAAAAAA